CGGCCACCACUGGACUGAGACACGGCCCAGACUCCUACGGGAGGCAGCAGUAGGGAAUCUCGCAAUGGACGAAAGUCUGACGAGCAACGCGCGUGAGUGAUGAAGUUUUCGGAUCGUAAAGCUCUGUUGUUAGGGAAGAACAAGUGCCGUUCAAAUAGGGCGGCACCUUGACGGUACCUAACCAGAAAGCCACGGCUAACUACGUGCCAGCAGCCGCGGUAAUACGUAGGUGGCAAGCGUUGUCCGGAAUUAUUGGGCGUAAAGGGCUCGCAGGCGGUUUCUUAAGUCUGAUGUGAAAGCCCCCGGCUCAACCGGGGAGGGUCAUUGGAAACUGGGGAACUUGAGUGCAGAAGAGGAGAGUGGAAUUCCACGUGUAGCGGUGAAAUGCGUAGAGAUGUGGAGGAACACCAGUGGCGAAGGCGACUCUCUGGUCUGUAACUGACGCUGAGGAGCGAAAGCGUGGGGAGCGAACAGGAUUAGAUACCCUGGUAGUCCACGCCGUAAACGAUGAGUGCUAAGUGUUAGGGGGUUUCCGCCCCUUAGUGCUGCAGCUAACGCAUUAAGCACUCCGCCUGGGGAGUACGGUCGCAAGACUGAAACUCAAAGGAAUUGACGGGGGCCCGCACAAGCGGUGGAGCAUGUGGUUUAAUUCGAAGCAACGCGAAGAACCUUACCAGGUCUUGACAUCCUCUGACAAUCCUAGAGAUAGGACGUCCCCUUCGGGGGCAGAGUGACAGGUGGUGCAUGGUUGUCGUCAGCUCGUGUCGUGAGAUGUUGGGUUAAGUCCCGCAACGAGCGCAACCCUUGAUCUUAGUUGCCAGCAUUCAGUUGGGCACUCUAAGGUGACUGCCGGUGACAAACCGGAGGAAGGUGGGGAUGACGUCAAAUCAUCAUGCCCCUUAUGACCUGGGCUACACACGUGCUACAAUGGGCAGAACAAAGGGCAGCGAAACCGCGAGGUUAAGCCAAUCCCACAAAUCUGUUCUCAGUUCGGAUCGCAGUCUGCAACUCGAGUGCGUGAAGCAGGAAGGCUCAGGACCGUGCACACAGCAGAACGAAUCC
RNAcentral lists this ribosomal RNA (1062 nucleotides) under Bacillus subtilis. RNAcentral describes it as "bacterial SSU rRNA". It matches the Rfam family "Bacterial small subunit ribosomal RNA", at positions 305 to 1369 of the family's 1533-position model. The record is from RNAcentral. Lineage: Bacteria; Bacillati; Bacillota; Bacilli; Caryophanales; Bacillaceae.